UUUUGGAGGUAAAGGAUAUUUAUGGUAUAGAUUGUGUUGAUGGUUUCACAGGUAUAUACAUAUCUCCAAACACAUCAAGUUGUAUACAUUAACCAUCUACAGCUUUUUGUAUGUCAAUCUACCCCAAAAAAGAGGUUUUAGAAAAAAAACUAAUAGUAGGAGUAAAAAGACAGAGAAUUGAAAAAAAAUAAUAAAUAAAUAAGGAUUUGCAAUGGCUAUGCACCUAUUAGUCAGAUUUGUCUCCUUCAUCCUCUUGCCUUGCUCCCCCCAUCAUCUCACUCACAUAUUCCCACUCCCUUUCUCACUCGGUUCCUCACCUGCUUCACCAAUCUCUUUCUUGACAUUCUCAUGGGUCUCCUAAAUCAUUUCUCUAAGUUCCCUAUAAACUUCAACUCUGUCCUUCUCUGGAGCCAGGCAUUAUUUCUUAGAGGCUGUCAGGCCCAAGUUUAUAAUGCGAUCUCUUCCGUAGAGACCAUCCCCUCCCACAAAUAUAAAUCUGCCAUCACGAAAUAAAGAUGUAGGUUUUAAUCCUGGCAUUUUAUUCUCUGCUCCUGACUACUUUGUAAUUUGGGACAGGUGAAUUCUAAUAUCGGUAUUUCGAUGCCUUCUUGUGUUUGUUGUUCUGAGGGACUAGAGAGCUACAAACAUUUUAUAAAUAGCCCGCUUCAUUUGGCUGGCCCCUGAAUUCCCCAGAUGUCAGGACACCAGUUAAAAUAAUUUCUGAUGGCCUGAACCUGUUAUCACUUCAGGCUCUGAGCCCGGACCUUUGCAAAUCAGUCAGCAGAGAGGCGGUUUACUAUUCUCACAUUUUUAAAGGCUUCUUCUGUUAAUAUUGCUUGACCAGAUUUUCUUUCGCUAGAAGGCAUGAGAUCAGUGUUGUGACAUCUAACAACGGCUUUUGCUCCUCGUCCCGCAGUGUCUGGGGAAUUGGUCAACUCUGCCUGCCUCUGCGCCCUGUUUUUCACUGCUUUCUCUCCUGGCCUCUGCUCCUCAUUCCCAGCACCAAGAAAGGCUGGGGUGGGGAGAGGGCGGGAAGUAUGUCCUUUCUAAUCUAUGCCUCUUCUUAUUUCUUUUCUGUGCAGUGUGUAUACACCCACUCCUAACUCAUUUUCAGCUUUUGGUCAAUAAUUCGCUCAAAUAUUUACGGAGUGUCUUCUAUGCACAGGCACCAGGCAGCAGCAAAUCAGAGCUUACAGUCAAACAGCCGGGGGCGGGAGAGCAGACAUUAAACAACUAUUUGUCCACUUAAUGAUUUAAUUAAAAUUUUCAGAAGUGAUAGACGGGAAAGAUGCUAUGAGAACAUGCAAGUGAUGACCCUGCCCUGUCCAGAAGGUCGGGGAGGGCUUUCAUGAAGAAGUAACCUUGAGUUGAGUAGAAAUUAAGGAACAAAGUGGCUAGAGGAGGAGACAGAGGGAAUCAGAGGGGCAGACCAAGAGGUGAAAAGGGUGUGGCCAUUGGAGGCCCUGAAAUAAGGCUCUGGGUGUAGAGUGCAGAGAACAAGGGGCAAGUGCCACAAGAUGAUGAUGGUGAGGCAGGCGGGGCUGGGUUUUGCACAGCCCAGCAGGCCAUAUUAUGGAUUUGGGGCUCUACCUGGAGUAAUGAAAUUUGAAAGAUUCCCAGUCAUCCAUAUCGCCAAUUUCAAGGUCAGCUCUGUAACAGAAGAAAACACAUCCACAUAUAUUGAGACAUAGCCCAAAUCCUAACACCAUUGACAAUUUAUAGGGAACUCCUCCAGCAGCUGCUGCUCUGAGGCUCUACUGUCCUGCCCAGGAAUGUCCCCGGUUACAUCAUGUUAACUGAAACAGCGUUGCGGACAGCAGUCCUGCUAAACGUGCUCAGUCUGGUCCCACCUUGGCCAGAGAUGAGGCUCCUGCCUUCGUGCCAGCAUCACCCCUCAGUGAGUCCAGACAUCUGAUGUACAGCAUGAUGAUUAUAGUUGAUAAUACUGUACUGAAUACUGGAAAUUUGCUAAGAGAGUAGAUUUCAGGUGCUCUCAUGACAAAAAAAAGUGGUAACUAUGGGAUGAGAUGACAAGUUACUUAACUUCACUUAGUAAUCAUUUCACUGUGUAUAUGCAUAUCUAAUCAUCAUGGUGUACACCUUAAAUAUAUACAAUUUUUGUUUUUUAACUAAAUUUAGUUUUUUAUAAAGAGGUUUAAGUCCUCGGCCUCCCAUCUGUGGGCACAUGCAAGGGCACUGGUGAUGUUCAUAAAUGAGAGGCAGAUGGGGCAUUGGACAGAGUCUCACUGCGCAGACGAUCAUGGCUCCAAAUGGAGCCUGCACUGGGCAUCAGGCUGACAGCUGACAGUGGGCGGUCUUUCCGGGUACCAGUGAGAUGACCUCAGGCUGCUUGGCUGCCAACCAGCAACCUGGAACAGGCCGCCUUGCUCGGGUGUUUUUUCAGUCUCACUUCUUUCCACUUGGUCCCAUAGCCCCCUCUUCUCUCUAGCCCGUAGCAUCCAUGUCAGAUGUCUUCCAUUCACCCCUUCAGAUCCACUCUCCAUCCUCUUCCUGGCUCUGUGUUCCAGAAGUUUGACACAUGUGGACUACAUCAACGAGCUCCCUUGCCCUCCAGUUUCCAGUUGAAGUCAGCCCAUGGGAAGCACUAGCAGGAGAGAAGAGAAUUCCCUGGUGACUGACCUGUGCAGGCCUUCAAACGAGCUGCAGGAAUUCGUAAGUGUCCACACCUCAUCCACGACUUCCUGAAGAAUGAAGAUCGUAGGCUCUGCUAGGCGGCAUGUCUAGUCACAUCCCGUUUAGCUGCAUUCAUGGGGAACUGUUGUGCAGCACUUUCCUGUCUCCAUUUCAGAAGUUGAAUGAUGCUCUGGAACAAUAAAGCUUCCCUUCGUCCAGGAAGAUGAGCCCAUUGAUCCCGGAGUGCUCUGACAUACCACGCUGGACUUCUACGAGCUGAAAAGAUGAAAGACGUUCUCUUCUGUAGUGCAGAAUCAACCCACUUGGCUUUGCCACCACCCGACAGUGAAACGUCGCUAAACACAUGAAAAAACUUCCCAUACCCAGGAGAGCCGGGCCUUGACCCUGAAUCUCCAGGCUCUGAGAAAUCAGAGACAUGGUCCAUUCCAACGUCUGAGACCCCGAGAGAGAAAGCCCAAGGUCGAAGUGAGUUACUGCCACAUCCUGGGACCUGCAACUACCACAAACUCCUCAAGGCAGGAACAGAAACAAAAGCAUUCUUCAAGCCCAGAGUCUGCAGAGUCCCUGGCAAGAAAUAUUUGUUAAGUGGAUAAAUGAAUGAAUGAGAAAAAAAUAAAGGAGCUAAAGAUAAUAGUGGAUUAAAGUCACAGGAGCGACAACCCCCGGCCUUCCAUAAAGCAGCAGUCUGCCCCCAGAAACAAGCGCAGCAUUGCCUGGAGCAGGAGAAGGGCGGCAAGGCUCCCAGCAAGCGGCCAG
This 3411-nucleotide long non-coding RNA is filed under the name Equus caballus (horse). Its description in RNAcentral is "lncRNA (ENSECAG00000053275.1)". Lineage: Eukaryota; Metazoa; Chordata; Mammalia; Perissodactyla; Equidae. The record is from RNAcentral.